UUGGCGAAAGACUAUUAAGGGAGCUAUCUCAGGUUUUUACUGUACUUUUUAAACAAUCUGAAGAGGCCGACUGAGCGUCACAUACAAAAGACAACCAAUAAGGGCUGAUUACAGAUGCCAUGAUCUCAGGACACCUACCAUGACGUUACUUCUGAGGAACCACCUUCCACCUUUAUGUUCAGGUCAAAGAGAUUGAUCCCUCCAGGCAUUGUUGAGGAUGGUCAAGUAAAUAUCUUUUACCGUUCAUGGGAAAUUCUGCCUGGCCCUGAUGCUGUCAUUUCUGGAUCCAACCCCUGUGAUGAUGUCACUUCUAGUUCCGGCCUCUUUGAUGACUUCACUUCUGGAUCGGAGCCUAUGGAUGAAGACCC
Polypterus senegalus (gray bichir) is the source of this 368-nucleotide long non-coding RNA. RefSeq lists it as uncharacterized. The record is from RefSeq and is a predicted model, not a curated record. The transcript is spliced from 3 exons. NCBI's taxonomy places the organism in Eukaryota, Metazoa, Chordata, Cladistia, Polypteriformes, Polypteridae.